AAGAGACCUUUAAGACAGCUGGUCAUUAUGCCAACCGGGUGUCCGUACUAAGUUCGGUAUCAGUAUGGUGACCUCCUGGGAACGGGGCUAUCGGGUUGCCUAAGGAUGGGAGAACUGGCCCAGGUCAGAAAGGGAGCAGGUCAGAAUUCCUGCACCAGUCGGUAGUGGGACUGUGCCUGGGCAAUAUAGCAAGAUUUUGGUUCUU
Pan troglodytes (chimpanzee) is the source of this 205-nucleotide non-coding RNA. It matches the Rfam family "Metazoan signal recognition particle RNA", at positions 68 to 274 of the family's 299-position model. From Rfam's summary of the family: The signal recognition particle (SRP) is a universally conserved ribonucleoprotein. It is involved in the co-translational targeting of proteins to membranes. NCBI's taxonomy places the organism in Eukaryota, Metazoa, Chordata, Mammalia, Primates, Hominidae. The record is from Rfam.